This 216-nucleotide ribosomal RNA is filed under the name Campeiostachys nutans. RNAcentral's name for it is "Elymus nutans partial small subunit ribosomal RNA". The stretch from base 40 to 216 matches the Rfam family "Eukaryotic small subunit ribosomal RNA", at positions 686 to 864 of the family's 1831-position model. Lineage: Eukaryota; Viridiplantae; Streptophyta; Magnoliopsida; Poales; Poaceae. The record is from RNAcentral.
GGGUCAGUAGGUUGGUCAUGCCACUGGUAUGUACUGGUCUCACUGAUUCCUCCUUCCUGAUGAGCUGUAAUGCCAUUAAUUUGGUGUUGCGGAGAAUCUGGACUGUUACUUUGAAAAAAUUAGAGUGUUUAAAGCAAGCUAACGCUUGAAUACAUUAGCAUGGAAUGAUGAAAUAGGACGUUCGAUCCUAUUUUGUUGGUUUCUAGGUUUGACGUA